Non-coding RNA from Bos taurus (domestic cattle), 72 nucleotides. Lineage: Eukaryota; Metazoa; Chordata; Mammalia; Artiodactyla; Bovidae. The record is from Rfam.
UCCCUGGUGGCUCAGAAGGUGAAGCGUCUGCCUGCAAUGUAGGAGACCCAGGUUCGAUGCCUGGGUUGGGAA